UUCUUGGAGAGUUUGAUCCUGGCUCAGGACGAACGCUGGCGGCGUGCCUAAUACAUGCAAGUCGAGCGGACUUGA
Molecule: ribosomal RNA, 75 nt
Filed under: Paenibacillus dendrobii
Lineage: Bacteria; Bacillati; Bacillota; Bacilli; Caryophanales; Paenibacillaceae
Also listed under: 2 other names
Description: Bacterial small subunit ribosomal RNA
Rfam family: Bacterial small subunit ribosomal RNA
Source: Rfam by way of RNAcentral